This 160-nucleotide ribosomal RNA is filed under the name Enterobacteriaceae bacterium SR-J. RNAcentral's name for it is "partial 16S ribosomal RNA". It matches the Rfam family "Bacterial small subunit ribosomal RNA", at positions 355 to 507 of the family's 1533-position model. RNAcentral also lists the same sequence under 1 other name. The record is from RNAcentral. Lineage: Bacteria; Pseudomonadati; Pseudomonadota; Gammaproteobacteria; Enterobacterales; Enterobacteriaceae.
UGGGGAAUAUUGCACAAUGGGCGCAAGCCUGAUGCAGCCAUGCCGCGUGUAUGAAGAAGGCCUUCGGGUUGUAAAGUACUUUCAGCGGGGAGGAAGGUGUUGCGGUUAAUAACCGCAGCAAUUGACGUUACCCGCAGAAGAAGCACCGGCUAACUCCGUG